RNAcentral lists this long non-coding RNA (275 nucleotides) under Triticum aestivum (bread wheat). RNAcentral describes it as "long non-coding RNA (TAES_LNC001811)". The record is from RNAcentral. Lineage: Eukaryota; Viridiplantae; Streptophyta; Magnoliopsida; Poales; Poaceae.
CUGGAUCUAUUUGUUCUCCCUCUUAACUGUGAAUAGCAUGCCAAAUUCGCCUUUAGUAAUAGAGAUGUACAUACCUUGGUGUACAAGGACCCAUUGUACUCCUUUUUUGUAGCCUCAUAAUCUGUCCAUAUACAUGUUGUAGACCGUUCAAACUAGCACGGUGUUACUGAGAGCACAGUUCUAUGAUACCUUUGGGUCACCACAUCGGACCAAAAGUAUGGUGUUGUUCUUUUAUUGCCGAUGUGUCAUAGAAGUGAGAUGUCUUAUUGCUUAUG